Molecule: ribosomal RNA, 401 nt
Filed under: uncultured bacterium
Lineage: Bacteria
Description: bacterial SSU rRNA
Rfam family: Bacterial small subunit ribosomal RNA
Source: RNAcentral
AACGAACGCUGGCGGCGUGCCUAACACAUGCAAGUCGUGCGAGAAAGUUCCUUCGGGAGCGAGUAAAGCGGCGCACGGGUGAGUAACACGUAGGUAACCUGCCCCCCAGUCUGGAACAACUAGAGGAAACUCUAGCUGAUGCCGGAUGAGACCACGAUCCCUUCGGGGUUGCGGCCAAGAUGGCCUCUACUUGUAAGCUAUCGCUGAGGGAUGGGCCGUGCGGGCCAUUAGCUUGUUGGUGAGGUAACGGCUCACCAAGGCUGUGAUGGCUAGCUGGUCUGAGAGGAUGACCAGCCACACUGGGACUGAGACACGGCCCAGACUCCUACGGGAGGCAGCAGUGGGGAAUAUGCGCAAUGGGCGAAGCCUGACGCAGCGACGCCGCGUGGUGGAUGAAGGCC